CCUACGGGAGGCUGCAGUGGGGAAUAUUGCACAAUGGGCGCAAGCCUGAUGCAGCCAUGCCGCGUGUGUGAAGAAGGCCUUCGGGUUGUAAAGCACUUUCAGCGGGGAGGAAGGCGGUGAGGUUAAUAACCUCAUCGAUUGACGUUACCCGCAGAAGAAGCACCGGCUAACUCCGUGCCAGCAGCCGCGGUAAUACGGAGGGUGCAAGCGUUAAUCGGAAUUACUGGGCGUAAAGCGCACGCAGGCGGUCUGUCAAGUCGGAUGUGAAAUCCCCGGGCUCAACCUGGGAACUGCAUUCGAAACUGGCAGGCUAGAGGCUUGUAGAGGGGGGUAGAAUUCCAGGUGUAGCGGUGAAAUGCGGAGAGAUCUGGAGGAAUACCGGUGGCGAAGGCGGCCCCCUGGACAAAGACUGACGCUCAGGUGCGAAAGCGUGGGGAGCAAACAGGAUUAGAUACCCCUGUAGUC
RNAcentral lists this ribosomal RNA (465 nucleotides) under uncultured Klebsiella sp. RNAcentral describes it as "bacterial SSU rRNA". It matches the Rfam family "Bacterial small subunit ribosomal RNA", at positions 338 to 795 of the family's 1533-position model. Lineage: Bacteria; Pseudomonadati; Pseudomonadota; Gammaproteobacteria; Enterobacterales; Enterobacteriaceae. The record is from RNAcentral.